AAUCAACGCUGGCGGCGUGCCUAACACAUGCCAGUCGAACGCGAAAGUCCCGCAAGGGAUCAGUAGAGUGGCAAACGGGUGAGUAACGCGUGGGCGACCUACCUUCGAGUGGGGGAUAACCUUCCGAAAGGAGGGCUAAUACCGCAUGACAUCCCGUGGUUGGAUACACGGACAUCAAAGCCGGGGAUCGCAAGACCUGGCGCUUGGAGAGGGGCCCGCGUCCGAUUAGCUAGUUGGUGGGGAAUGGCUCACCAAGGCUCCGAUCGGUAUCCGGCCUGAGAGGGCGGACGGACACACUGGGACUGAGACACGGCCCAGACUCCUACGGGAGGCAGCAGUGGGGAAUUGUUCGCAAUGGGCGCAAGCCUGACGACGCAACGCCGCGUGGAGGAUGAAGA
RNAcentral lists this ribosomal RNA (398 nucleotides) under uncultured bacterium. RNAcentral's name for it is "bacterial SSU rRNA". It matches the Rfam family "Bacterial small subunit ribosomal RNA", at positions 29 to 414 of the family's 1533-position model. The record is from RNAcentral.